CUUAGUGGCGGACGGGUGAGUAACGCGUGGGUAACCUGCCUUGCACUGGGGGAUAACACUUAGAAAUAGGUGCUAAUACCGCAUAAGCGCACGGUCCCGCAUGUGACAGUGUGAAAAACUCCGGUGGUGCAAGAUGGACCCGCGUCUGAUUAGCUGGUUGGCGGGGUAAAGGCCCACCAAGGCGACGAUCAGUAGCCGGCCUGAGAGGGUGGACGGCCACAUUGGGACUGAGACACGGCCCAAACUCCUACGGGAGGCAGCAG
RNAcentral lists this ribosomal RNA (263 nucleotides) under uncultured bacterium. Its description in RNAcentral is "partial 16S ribosomal RNA". It matches the Rfam family "Bacterial small subunit ribosomal RNA", at positions 91 to 354 of the family's 1533-position model. The record is from RNAcentral.